CUCUUUCACUUGAGUAUCUUACCUUACCUGGUUAUUUUCAGAUGAUUUCCUUUUGCCCUUAUGUAGCUUUGUCAACUAUGUGUGUGCUUUAUAUACCUGUUCACUCCUCUCCCUGUAGGCUUUACAGAUGCUCCCCACUCCUUGGCUGCAACCAUUCUAAUCGGCACCGUUUGGAACUGCUGAUCUGUGGUCAAGAAUGCUGAGAUGAUCUCAGCCUAUGCUACCAUUAUGUCUCUAGCCAUUUUGGCCCUGACAGAGACAUGUAUCAUCCCAGAGAACACCGCUACUCCAGCUGAUCUCUCUUCAUCUAACUACGUGUUCUGUCAUGACACUCAACUACUGUCCCCCCCCCUCAUCGUGAUUGUGGCACAGGGCUACUCACUCACUCACCAUCUCUUCAUUUGAAUUCCAUACUGUUACUUGUCAUCUAUCACCCACCAGGUGCCCUUAGCGAGUUCGUCAAUGAGAUUGACACCUUGAUAAACUAAUUUCCCGAUGGCUCAACGCUCAUCGUUCUGGGCGACUUCAACCUCCCAACGUCUGCCUUCGAUUCCUUUCUUUCCACCUCUUUCUUUCCCCUCCUUGCCUCUUUCGACCUGACCCUUUCCCAGUUCCCUCACACUCACAAGGCAGGCAAUUCACUUGACCUCAUCUUUACUAGAGGCUGUUCACCUACUAAUCUCACUGCAACUUAAUCCAGGUCUCUGAUCACUACUUUGUUUCCUUUUCUGCCUCCCUCUCCUCCAACCUUACCCACUCAGCCCCUACCCAGAUGGUCAAGUGCCAUCGUCAACUUUACUUUCUCUCUCCCACUACUCUCUCUCCUUCUAAAUCCUUCUCCCUCCUGUCUCCUGAUUUUGCCUCUUCGACCCUACUCUCCUCCCUUUCUGCAUCCCAUGACUUGCACUGUUCUCUUUCCAUGCAGCCAGCUCGUGGCUGAGUGACCCUCUGACUUCAAAAUGGCCAGAGUUGCUCCCCUCCACAAGCAACCAACACUUGACCACUCUGACGUCAAAAACUACAGACCGUGGUGGCUGGUCCCCUGCAAGAAGGUGAGGUGCCUGAGGUCCCUCCGCCCCCUCUGGACAUCGAGGAGUCCCGUACACGGUUCGUGUUAUUCUGGAUUCGAGACGCCGGGUCGGGGGCCUACAGUACCUUGUGGACUGGGAGGGGUACGGUCCGGAGGAGAGAUGCUGGGUUUCGGUUGGGGACAUUUUGAACCCUUCUCUCCUGAGAGAUUUCCACCGCCUCCACCCGGAUCGCCCGGCGCCUCGUCCUCCGGGAGGUCCUCGAGGCCGGUGGCGGCGGGCUGCGGGAGCCGCGCGUCAGGGGGGGUACUGUCACGUUUGUCUGUUGGUUUUGUCUUAUUAGUUUCACCUGUGUGUAUUUUAGUUUAAUUAGCUUCCCUAUAUGUAGUAGGUUGUCCCACCCUUGUUUUGUGCGGGAUUGUUUUUUGUUACUCUGUUGGAUUGUGGUUUUCAUGUGUGUAUUCUCCGGACUGUUUGGUCCUGUGUUUGGGCUGGUCUGUUCUAUGCGCCC
Oncorhynchus tshawytscha (Chinook salmon) is the source of this 1539-nucleotide long non-coding RNA. Lineage: Eukaryota; Metazoa; Chordata; Actinopteri; Salmoniformes; Salmonidae. The record is from Ensembl.